RNAcentral lists this ribosomal RNA (467 nucleotides) under uncultured bacterium. RNAcentral describes it as "bacterial SSU rRNA". It matches the Rfam family "Bacterial small subunit ribosomal RNA", at positions 328 to 792 of the family's 1533-position model. The record is from RNAcentral.
CGGCCAGACUCCUACGGGAGGCAGCAGUGAGGAAUAUUGGUCAAUGGGCGAGAGCCUGAACCAGCCAAGUCGCGUGAGGGAGUACUGCCCUAUGGGUUGUAAACCUCUUUUGUCAGGGAACAAAGGCGGGGACGUGUCCUCGGAUGAGUGUACCUGAAGAAAAAGCAUCGGCUAACUCCGUGCCAGCAGCCGCGGUAAUACGUAUGGUGCAAGCGUUAUCCGGAUUUACUGGGUGUAAAGGGGGCGCAGGCGGCGCGUUAAGCCUGGUGUGAAAGCCCGCGGCCCAACCGCGGGACUGCAUUGGGAACUGGCGCGCUGGAGUGCCGGAGGGGUAGGCGGAAUUCCUAGUGUAGCGGUGAAAUGCGUAGAUAUUAGGAGGAACACCAGUGGCGAAGGCGGCCUACUGGACGGUGACUGACGCUGAGGCUCGAAAGCGUGGGGAGCAAACAGGAUUAGAUACCCCCGUA